CUUGGUCAUUUAGAGGAAGUAAAAGUCGUAACAAGGUUUCCGUAGGUGAACCUGCGGAAGGAUCAUUAGUGAAUAACCUGCUUGGGCAGUCGCUUCGGCACUGCCCUCGCAACUCACAUCCAUAACACCUGUGAACUGUAAGGAAGUCUGUGCUUCGGCCCGACUUUCCUGCCCCUUUUUAUAAACAUCAGUCGUCUUAAAAGUAGUCUUAUUAUAAUCUAAUAAAACUUUCAACAACGGAUCUCUUGGCUCUCGCAUCGAUGAAGAACGCAGCGAAAUGCGAUAAGUAAUGUGAAUUGCAGAAUUCAGUGAAUCAUCGAAUCUUUGAACGCACCUUGCGCUCCAUGGUAUUCCGUGGAGCAUGCCUGUUUGAGUGUCAUGAAAACAAUCAACCUUGGUUUUGGGGCAACCCUCGAUCUCGGCUUGGACUUGGGCGUUUGCCAUCUUCACGGGUGGCUCGCCUCAAAUGAAUUAGCUGGACCUGUUUGUGAGGAAUGGUUCUACUCGGCGUAAUAAGUAUUUCGCUGAGGACAUGGCUUCGGCUGUGGCCUUCCUCUCGACGAUCGUCUGCUUUCAAACCCUGUUCUCCUCGGAGACGCACUUUUUAUGAUCUGGCCUCAAAUCAGGUAGGACUACCCGCUGAACUUAAGCAUAUCAAUAAGCGGAGGA
Molecule: ribosomal RNA, 669 nt
Filed under: uncultured Tremellomycetes
Lineage: Eukaryota; Fungi; Basidiomycota; Tremellomycetes
Description: eukaryotic LSU rRNA
Rfam family: 5.8S ribosomal RNA (bases 226-379)
Source: RNAcentral